AUAAUGAAGCCGGGAAACCGGUCCUUCUAACCCUUGAUUAUCUUAAUUUGUUGCUUUGGUGGGCCGCGCAAGCACCGGCUUCGGCUGGAUCGUGCCCGCCAGAGGACCACAACUCUGUAUUAAAUGUCGUCUGAGUACUAUAAAAUAGUUA
Molecule: unclassified non-coding RNA, 151 nt
Filed under: uncultured Helotiales
Lineage: Eukaryota; Fungi; Ascomycota; Leotiomycetes; Helotiales
Description: sequence contains ITS1
Source: RNAcentral